GAUGAACGCUGGCGGCGUGCCUAAUACAUGCAAGUCGAGCGAACAGACGAGGGGCUUGCUCCUUUGACGUUAGCGGCGGACGGGUGAGUAACACGUGGGUAACCUACCUAUAAGACUGGGAUAACUUCGGGAAACCGGAGCUAAUACCGGAUAAUAUUUCGAACCGCAUGGUUCGAUAGUGAAAGAUGGCUCUGCUAUCACUUAUAGAUGGACCUGCGCCGUAUUAGCUAGUUGGUAAGGUAACGGCUUACCAAGGCAACGAUACGUAGCCGACCUGAGAGGGUGAUCGGCCACACUGGAACUGAGACACGGUCCAGACUCCUACGGGAGGCAGCAGUAGGGAAUCUUCCGCAAUGGGCGAAAGCCUGACGGAGCAACGCCGCGUGAGUGAUGAAGGUCUUCGGAUCGUAAAACUCUGUUAUUAGGGAAGAACAAACGUGUAAGUAACUGUGCACGUCUUGACGGUACCUAAUCAGAAAGCCACGGCUAACUACGUG
This 497-nucleotide ribosomal RNA is filed under the name uncultured bacterium. RNAcentral's name for it is "partial 16S ribosomal RNA". It matches the Rfam family "Bacterial small subunit ribosomal RNA", at positions 28 to 507 of the family's 1533-position model. The record is from RNAcentral.